CGAACGCUGGCGGCGUGCUUAACACAUGCAAGUCGAACGGAAAGGCCCUGCUUUUGUGGGGUGCUCGAGUGGCGAACGGGUGAGUAACACGUGAGUAACCUGCCCUUGACUUUGGGAUAACUUCAGGAAACUGGGGCUGAUACCGGAUAGGAGCUCCUGCUGCAUGGUGGGGGUUGGAAAGUUUCGGCGGUUGGGGAUGGACUCGCGGCUUAUCAGCUUGUUGGUGGGGUAGUGGCUUACCAAGGCUUUGACGGGUAGCCGGCCUGAGAGGGUGACCGGCCACAUUGGGACUGAGAUACGGCCCAGACUCCUACGGGAGGCAGCAGUGGGGAAUAUUGCACAAUGGGCGGAAGCCUGAUGCAGCAACGCCGCGUGCGGGAUGACGGCCUUCGGGUUGUAAACCGCUUUCGCCUGUGACGAAGCGUGAGUGACGGUAAUGGGUAAAGAAGCACCGGCUAACUACGUG
Molecule: ribosomal RNA, 466 nt
Filed under: uncultured bacterium
Lineage: Bacteria
Description: partial 16S ribosomal RNA
Rfam family: Bacterial small subunit ribosomal RNA
Source: RNAcentral